GAGUUUAGAGUUUGAUCAUGGCUCAGGACGAACGCUGGCGGCGUGCCUAAUACAUGCAAGUCGAGCGGACAGAUGGGAGCUUGCUCCCUGAUGUUAGCGGCGGACGGGUGAGUAACACGUGGGUAACCUGCCUGUAAGACUGGGAUAACUCCGGGAAACCGGGGCUAAUACCGGAUGCUUGUUUGAACCGCAUGGUUCAAACAUAAAAGGUGGCUUCGGCUACCACUUACAGAUGGACCCGCGGCGCAUUAGCUAGUUGGUGAGGUAACGGCUCACCAAGGCAACGAUGCGUAGCCGACCUGAGGGGGUGAUCGGCCACACUGGGACUGAGACACGGCCCAGACUCCUACGGGAGGCAGCAGUAGGGAAUCUUCCGCAAUGGACGAAAGUCUGACGGAGCAACGCCGCGUGAGUGAUGAAGGUUUUCGGAUCGUAAAGCUCCUUUGUUAGGGAAGAGCAAGUACCGUUCGAAUAUGGCGGUACCUGGACGGACCUAACCA
This 500-nucleotide ribosomal RNA is filed under the name Bacillus mojavensis. RNAcentral's name for it is "bacterial SSU rRNA". It matches the Rfam family "Bacterial small subunit ribosomal RNA", at positions 1 to 485 of the family's 1533-position model. The record is from RNAcentral. Lineage: Bacteria; Bacillati; Bacillota; Bacilli; Caryophanales; Bacillaceae.